Molecule: long non-coding RNA, 1146 nt
Organism: Apis dorsata (giant honeybee)
Lineage: Eukaryota; Metazoa; Arthropoda; Insecta; Hymenoptera; Apidae
Exons: 3
Source: RefSeq, a predicted model, not a curated record
CAAUGUUUAAAUUAGUUUAAUUAAAAAUGAUAAAUAUGUUUUAAAGAUAAUAUCUAAUAUAAUAAAUAAUAUAUUCAAUAUCCCAUUUUCGAAGAAUCACAUAAGAAAUUUGCAUUUUGCUAUCAUGGUGAUAUCAUAACACGUUCGACAGUCUUAAUUAUCGUAGAAUUCUCGCGACGCGAUUAUGCAACGAGAAGUGAAAGUCGCUCGAUAUUUGCGAACACGAGGCGCGGUGCACGCAAGAGAUGUCGAGAUUUCUCGCAGAAAUUCGACCUCUUCGUCGUCCCUUCCCAACACGGCAUGUUGGCGGAAAUGAAACAAAUUGGAAUUUCGCCUGUAUAUCCGGAAGGAAGCAUACUGCCUUUUCGGAUUAUUAAAUGAGACACUGAAAUGUUCCAGUUGAUUCCUUUCUACAUGGAAACCGAGAAUUUUCUUCAGAAAGAGCUUUAAUAAAUACGAAUCAGAAUAGAAAGAGAAAAACGACUCGCAUCCAUAAAAUUUCAUUUCGAAAAUGUAUCCUCCCUUUUAUACAGAAUAUUAAUAAACGUUCUCUCGUGAGCCAACGUUUUCGUUCCAUCUCGAAAAUGAUAAAAUGGAAAAUGGUCAACGAAGUGUCGUCGUGUAUAUUCAAAGUAUAUGCUCGAGAUACGGACGAGUAUCUCGUAAGGAUGCUAAUUAAUUAAGAAUCGAGAUGGGAUGCCGAAUAUAAAUUUCUCAGACUUUCCCGCUUUUUAUUCGAAUUAUUUGAAAGCCGUUGCGUUUCUAUGGCGGGUUUUUCGAACGAGAGAUUCGCUUUAUAUAGAAAGUUCACUUGUGGAAAUGUAAUUUGGGUGGAUAUAGUCGUGUGAUUUCACGAUAGUGUUAAUUAACACGAUUGGAUGCCACGUGGAUGAAAUUUAACCAACUUGGAUGUUUCGAUGAUUGCACGUGAACCGAGGAAUGAGAAAUCUCGAUCGAUUGGCUAGAUAUACAUGCAUAUGUACUUGUCUGAUACACGGCUGGGAAUAUAUUUGCAUUUAUGAAAGGAUUAUCAAUACAUCUUACGAUUUCAAUUUGUACUGAUUAUUAUUAAAUAAAUGGAUAUUAAUGUAAAUUGAUAAAUUAUUUGAUAAUUUUUUUUUUUACAGAUAAUUUUAUAAUAGGAUU